This 445-nucleotide ribosomal RNA is filed under the name uncultured bacterium. RNAcentral describes it as "bacterial SSU rRNA". It matches the Rfam family "Bacterial small subunit ribosomal RNA", at positions 354 to 796 of the family's 1533-position model. The record is from RNAcentral.
GUGAGGAAUAUUGGUCAAUGGACGAGAGUCUGAACCAGCCAAGUAGCGUGAAGGAUGAAGGUCCUACGGAUUGUAAACUUCUUUUAUAAGGGAAUAAAACCUCCCACGUGUGGGAGCUUGUAUGUACCUUAUGAAUAAGCAUCGGCUAACUCCGUGCCAGCAGCCGCGGUAAUACGGAGGAUGCGAGCGUUAUCCGGAUUUAUUGGGUUUAAAGGGAGCGCAGACGGGUCGUUAAGUCAGCUGUGAAAGUUUGGGGCUCAACCUUAAAAUUGCAGUUGAUACUGGCGUCCUUGAGUGCGGUUGAGGUGUGCGGAAUUCGUGGUGUAGCGGUGAAAUGCUUAGAUAUCACGAAGAACUCCGAUUGCGAAGGCAGCACACUAAGCCGUAACUGACGUUCAUGCUCGAAAGUGUGGGUAUCAAACAGGAUUAGAUACCCUUGUAGUCC